CGGGAUAGCUCAGCUGGUAGAGCAGAGGACUGAAAAUCCU
Molecule: transfer RNA, 40 nt
Filed under: Colletia ulicina
Lineage: Eukaryota; Viridiplantae; Streptophyta; Magnoliopsida; Rosales; Rhamnaceae
Also listed under: 3 other names
Description: partial transfer RNA-Phe
Source: RNAcentral